AACAGGAUUAGAUACCCUGGUAGUCCACGCCGUAAACGAUGUCUACUUGAAGGUUGUGGCCUUGAGCCGUGGCUUUCGGAGCUAACGCGUUAAGUAGACCGCCUGGGGAGUACGGUCGCAAGAUUAAAACCCAAAUGAAUUGACGGGGGCCCGCACAAGCGGUGGAGCAUGUGGUUUAAUUCGAUGCAACGCGAAGAACCUUACCUACUCUUGACAUCCAGAGAACUUUCCAGAGAUGGAUUGGUGCCUUCGGGAACUCUGAGACAGGUGCUGCAUGGCUGUCGUCAGCUCGUGUUGUGAAAUGUUGGGUUAAGUCCCGUAACGAGCGCAACCCUUAUCCUUGAUUGCCAGCACGUAAUGGUGGGAACUUCAGGGAGACUGCCGGUGAUAAACCGGAGGAAGGUGGGGACGACGUCAAGUCAUCAUGGCCCUUACGAGUAGGGCUACACACGUGCUACAAUGGCGCAUACAGAGGGUUGCCAACUUGCGAAAGUGAGCGAAUCCCAAAAAGUGCGUCGUAGUCCGGAUUGGAGUCUGCAACUCGACUCCAUGAAGUCGGAAUCGCUAGUAAUCGUGAAUCAGAAUGUCACGGUGAAUACGUUCCCGGGCCUUGUACACACCGCCCGUCACACCAUGGGAGUGGGCUGCAAAAGAAGCAGGUAGUUUAACCUUCGGGGGGACGCUUGCCACUUUGUGGUUCAUGACUGGGGUGAAGUCGUAACAAGGUAACC
This 731-nucleotide ribosomal RNA is filed under the name uncultured bacterium. Its description in RNAcentral is "bacterial SSU rRNA". It matches the Rfam family "Bacterial small subunit ribosomal RNA", at positions 771 to 1501 of the family's 1533-position model. The record is from RNAcentral.